This 481-nucleotide ribosomal RNA is filed under the name uncultured bacterium. RNAcentral's name for it is "partial 16S ribosomal RNA". It matches the Rfam family "Bacterial small subunit ribosomal RNA", at positions 28 to 507 of the family's 1533-position model. The record is from RNAcentral.
GAUGAACGCUGGCGGCGUGCUUAACACAUGCAAGUCGAACGAAGCAUUUAGGACAGAUUACUUCGGUUUGAAGUUCUUUAUGACUGAGUGGCGGACGGGUGAGUAACGCGUGGGUAACCUGCCUUGUACUGGGGGAUAGCAGCUGGAAACGGCUGGUAAUACCGCAUAAGCGCACAAUGUUGCAUGACAUGGUGUGAAAAACUCCGGUGGUAUAAGAUGGACCCGCGUCUGAUUAGCUAGUUGGUGAGAUAACAGCCCACCAAGGCGACGAUCAGUAGCCGACCUGAGAGGGUGACCGGCCACAUUGGGACUGAGACACGGCCCAGACUCCUACGGGAGGCAGCAGUGGGGAAUAUUGCACAAUGGAGGAAACUCUGAUGCAGCGACGCCGCGUGAGUGAAGAAGUAAUUCGUUAUGUAAAGCUCUAUCAGCAGGGAAGAUAGUGACGGUACCUGACUAAGAAGCUACGGCUAAAUACGUG